CUUCCUGUUUGGGUUUAGAGAGGGGAAAGAAGUCACAGUGAGGACUACUGAGCAGGUGUGUUCUCAGCAGUGACCAGGACCAGAGCGACAGCAGCAGACAGUUAAGUCUGUAGCACUCCCUGCUAGUCAUGGCAUCUCUAGGGAAUACACAGAGUCCUGCAGGCAUGGGGGGCUCUCCCAGGAAAAAAAGCACUGUGCCAUGGAGAAAGGCCGAGAAGAUGAAGUUUUAGAAGUACCUGCUAAGUAAUUGAGUUUGGGAUGCAGUUCUGAUUCACACAGACUUGUAACAGCUUUUGCCCUGUGAAGACCAGAUAACAGCAUUAAUGUAGGUUGACAAUAAGAGAACGGAUGGAGUCAGCGAGACCCCAGACCCCACUGCCCAGACCUCCUGACUUACACUCACACCAAUGAGUCUGUCAGGAGAAAGCUGAACAAAUGAACUGCUCUUUAUUCCUAGGUCACUCUCAAAGGUUAGACAACUGAAGAUCACUUGCUCAAAAGAAGAUAGAAAUUAACUCUUACACCUUUUAUCUUUAUUUUGCAGAGUUUUUUUUCUUAUAGAAUUUUUGAGGUCCAAUACAAAACUAAUUAAUUCCUUCAGGAGUUUUAUGGCACAUAGGUGGCUUUUAGAGAUCGAAUUUUCCUCCCCUCCAGAAGACCAGAAUAAAAAUAAAAUUGACCCUCGUGAUCCCAGGAAGUUAUGAUCUAUACAAUCAUCACAACAAUGAAUUCGUGAUCACCAAGCCACUACCCCCAGGGAAUUUUAGUUUUCCUUGGAACUGCAUAGUCUGGUGUUUUAAAGAGACAGAAAGACGACAUGCUGUUCACAGAGCCGACUCAAGUGUGUGAAGGAGGACAGGAGCACACAUCUACCCAAGUGUUUGCUGGCCUACCCAGCCAUCGGCCAUUUUCUGCAGGAGUUUCCUGGAACUUAGUCCUGAGAGCGAUCAAGCUUUACCUUUACUCUGCAAAUCAGCACUCCUCUCCUUUAAUAAGAAGACAAGGACGGCUUGAUUUUUAUUACUCUAGAAUAUACAGUGUAUGUUUAAACGCUGCAUAGAGCUUGGGCAUUUGUGAUAAGAUAAUAAAAUAAAACAUAUUUUUAUAUAUG
Rattus norvegicus (Norway rat) is the source of this 1111-nucleotide non-coding RNA. The record is from RefSeq and is a predicted model, not a curated record. Lineage: Eukaryota; Metazoa; Chordata; Mammalia; Rodentia; Muridae.